AGAAGAUACCCUCUACUAGUCACUUGACGGGCAGGAGGUGCAACGCGGAAGGAAACAUCACGGAUUGGGGGUACUGGAAACUUUUAAAAGGGAGAGCCAUGGUAACCUGCCCCUGCCUUCUACCUCGUCUCUGUGUGUGGCAUCCUGGAGCCAUGUUUCCACCAACGUCUUGACUGUGGCAGAUCUGAGAAACUCUACAUUAUACACAAAUGUUCUCUGGCCCCAGAGAUUAUCGCAGUACAUUGGGUGAGGGUAAGGGGUGAUGAUUCAGGAAGCCAGAAGGCUUGUGGCAGAAUGUCUUCAUUUUGCUGGAACAUCAUGAAAAACUACCUGAUCAGAGUGUCCAUAUGUAAAGAGUUGUAGCAAGUAUACAUGUGUGAGGAGGAAGUAAUUCUCUUUCAAAAAAUCAAGGAAAGGGAGGCAGGAAAAUGAAGUAAUUAGGAGUGUAAAUAGAGAUUAAGCUACAUUUAUACUUUAGUGUUCUCAUUUCAUACUUGUGUGACUUUGGGCAAGGUACUUACCCCUCUCAUUCUUGGUUAUCUCAUAUGUAAAAUGGUGAUAAUAUUGUCAUUUAGGAUUUCAGAGAAAAUGAAACAAGACAGUGUAUCUAAAGUGCUUAGAUGGUUCCUGACUCCAAAAAGUUUUGGUUUUUAUUAAGAUACUGCAAGCCUGCCUUUGACCACUGAUUACUUCUGCCUGAGUUGGAGAGAAGUCAUGUUUGUAUAAUAUGUGAUACUGCAUAUAUGAACACAGAAUUUCUUAUUAGUCCCAGGAAAUAUAUUUUGGUAGUUAGAUAUUUAAAAAAAAAUUAGAAUUAUUUCUGGGCUAUCCUUUAAGAUAAUAUUUCAAAAGUUACGUACAUUUCAUACUUUAUUUUCUAUUGUCAUUUCAAUUAUUGUUCAAUUGUCUCUCAAACAAGAUUUUUAAAAAUAUACUACCAGUUCAUUAAUUGAAAUAUUUUCUUGAAUAGAGUGUAAAUGAAUAAAUAUAAUUAUUCAAA
This 1000-nucleotide long non-coding RNA is filed under the name Homo sapiens (human). Its description in RNAcentral is "non-protein coding lnc-TMEM161B-13:2". The record is from RNAcentral. Lineage: Eukaryota; Metazoa; Chordata; Mammalia; Primates; Hominidae.